Molecule: unclassified non-coding RNA, 218 nt
Filed under: uncultured Tomentella
Lineage: Eukaryota; Fungi; Basidiomycota; Agaricomycetes; Thelephorales; Thelephoraceae
Description: partial internal transcribed spacer 2
Source: RNAcentral
ACACCUCAACUCUCAUGGUUCGCCAUGAUGAGCUUGGACUUUGGGGGCCUUGCCGGCUUGACUGUCGGCUCCUCUCAAAUGAAUCAGCUUGCCAGUGUUUGGUGGCAUCACAGGUGUGAUAACUAUCUACGCUUGUGACCGUUCACCAGGUAACCUUCAGCGAUGGAGGUUCGCUGGAGCUCACAGACGUCUCUCCCCAGGGAGGACAGCUUCUAAAU